GGUUCUGGACGGCCCACCGCAGAGCCUGGAUCUCCAGCUCCCGUUGGCCCCACAGUAGCCGCAAGGUUGACGGAGAAGACCCCCUGUGUAGAGCUGGGCUUGGCGUCCUGUGCGCAUGUGGGACCCCCCGGCUCCGGAGGUGCGCCCACGGGAGGCUCCAGCUUCAGAGCAGCCUUCUCCCCCAUCAGGACCGCCGGGCUGGCGGCAGCCAGAGAGGGCCCG
Long non-coding RNA from Lontra canadensis (Northern American river otter), 222 nucleotides. RefSeq lists it as uncharacterized. The record is from RefSeq and is a predicted model, not a curated record. Lineage: Eukaryota; Metazoa; Chordata; Mammalia; Carnivora; Mustelidae. The transcript is spliced from 3 exons.